RNAcentral lists this ribosomal RNA (231 nucleotides) under uncultured bacterium. Its description in RNAcentral is "partial 16S ribosomal RNA". It matches the Rfam family "Bacterial small subunit ribosomal RNA", at positions 109 to 334 of the family's 1533-position model. The record is from RNAcentral.
AGUAAUAUUCGGGCAAUUUACCCUCAAGAGGGAGACAACCUGCCGAAAGGCGGGCUAAUAUCCCAUAAGACCACGGGGUGGCAUUAUCCAGGGGUCAAAGCUCCGCAAGGGGCGCUAGAGGAGAAGCCCAAAUCCUAUCAGCUAGUUGGUGAGGUAAUGGCUCACCAAGGCUUUGAUGGGUAGCCGGCCUGAAAGGGCGACCGGCCACACUGGCACUGAGACACGGGCCAG